GUGGCGCUUAGCGGGCGGCUUCUUGAAAGAC
This 31-nucleotide small RNA is filed under the name Drosophila melanogaster (fruit fly). RNAcentral describes it as "small non-coding RNA 254 (Dmel_CR33705)". Lineage: Eukaryota; Metazoa; Arthropoda; Insecta; Diptera; Drosophilidae. The record is from RNAcentral.